RNAcentral lists this long non-coding RNA (415 nucleotides) under Elaeis guineensis (African oil palm). RNAcentral describes it as "long non-coding RNA (EGUI_LNC071925)". Lineage: Eukaryota; Viridiplantae; Streptophyta; Magnoliopsida; Arecales; Arecaceae. The record is from RNAcentral.
CUCCACUUAUCCUAUAAAAGAUUGUUUGGUCAUUUUUUCUUGAAGAUAGAACUCAUAAACUGGAUAAAACAUUGGUCGAGAUGUUCAUCUUUCUUCAAUCUAUUUAUCCUAUCCUCUCCAAUAUGAUCUAGCUUAAGGUGCCAAUAUAUUUUAGGUUCAUCUCAUCUUUGGAUCUCUCAGAUCCUACAACACUCACUAUGAGCUCAAAAAAUAUUCACAGAUACAUCUAUAUGCAAAUGACAUAGUUUCAUGAGUAGGUCUAACACACCUUUUAAAGGCAUGUACUCCUUAUUCUGCAGGAACUCCAGCUAUAUGAGAUAGUUUCUUUUUCAAUGGCUGUCAACAUUGAAGUGAAAACACUUUUCCUUACUAGUGACCUUCUUCUUAGAAAUUUUCUUUUUGGCUUGCUCUCGAU